Molecule: ribosomal RNA, 233 nt
Filed under: uncultured bacterium
Lineage: Bacteria
Description: partial 16S ribosomal RNA
Rfam family: Bacterial small subunit ribosomal RNA
Source: RNAcentral
CGGGACGGGUGAGUAAUGUCUGGGAAACUGCCUGAUGGAGGGGGAUAACUACUGGAAACGGUAGCUAAUACCGCAUAACGUCGCAAGACCAAAGAGGGGGACCUUCGGGCCUCUUGCCAUCGGAUGUGCCCAGAUGGGAUUAGCUAGUAGGUGGGGUAACGGCUCACCCAGGCGACGAUCCCUAGCUGGUCUGAGAGGAUGGCCAGCCACACUGGAACUGAGACACGGUCCAG